Molecule: long non-coding RNA, 272 nt
Filed under: Lathyrus oleraceus (garden pea)
Lineage: Eukaryota; Viridiplantae; Streptophyta; Magnoliopsida; Fabales; Fabaceae
Description: Pisum sativum (pea) long non-coding RNA (PSAT_LNC011719)
Source: RNAcentral
AAAAACACGGAGCGUUGGAUCUUGCCUCAAUAAUUGACGUGGCAUAUCUAACAAUCACAAGGUUAGGGCGCACAAAGGAAAUUAUCAAAAAUGAAACACGAUAUUGCAUUUAAAUUGAACCAAUCAGAACAUUUAAAAUGUCCAACGUGGAAGCAAACUCAGAUGACCUGAGAUAAACUCUGGUCAUCUUCCCCGAUGAUCCCUCAUUGGAGUUUCAUCAUUUAGUAAAUUCAGAACACGAGACCACCACCAAUGUGAUCGCCUUAUCAUCA